AUGAAAUAGAAUAGCUCCAAUUGGAAGAGACAUAAAAAGACCAUUGAGUCCAUCUGUUUGGUCUAUGCGAUUUCUGUAAGUUAGUGGAUACCAUAGAAACUUCGAACUGUUUUAUAUGCAAAACAGCAAGCUGCAGGUGAUGUUGGCUGCUUAAUGACAUUUAGCUCUAUGCGUUGCUCUCACUUUGACCUAAUGGUUCCUAGCAUGCAUCAAAUCUGAGAAGAAGUCAAGUGAACACCCAUGUUGGAGCUGGUGUCUUCACAGAAUUAACCUUUUAUCCUUAGAUCUCAAUCCUGACCAGUAAUAGCUCAGAAGCCAUUCAGUCACUGAAUAGCCAGAAUGAUAAUUGCAAUUUUUUUCACAGGAUCAGAAGUUGAACUAGAAAAACAGACAAAGGCUGAUGCAAGGGGAAGAUUUGCAGAGCUUCUUUUGAGUACCUUCCCAAAGCAAAUCAUAGUUUAUUCCUUUUCACACAAGUUUCUUGUAGUUUGUUCUGUGGCAUGUUCCUCAGGAAGAAAAAAAGUACCUCUUUGAUUUGAUACAACUUCCCCACCUAUGAAUAAUAUAUAAGCAAAAUUGUAUUUUCUCCUUCAGAAGCGUCUUCUGAUAAUGAAAAAGUCAGUUUUCAUUUGUGAAAUUAAAUACUUCCAAUAUAAGAAUGAGUUACAUUAGACCUAAGGGAGCACAUAAGGCACGUGUCUUCUCUUCAUCUCCCAGAAACCCUAAUUAAAGUUCCUUGUGCUUCUGUUGUGGUUUUUGGUCUUCUGUCUUCACGGGACUUCCCAGCAGAAACUCACUUCCUUAGGUUAUGCGGAGCCAAAGAAGAAACUUCCUGAGAAGGCCUGCUGACAUGACCAAUUGGACCAAUAUCUUGGGUCUAGUUGUUAAGUGGAGGGUUUAGACGUGGGUUUUCCACAGAAGAGCUCAUCUGUCCACUCAUGCAGCCUCCACAAUAAACUUCUCUUCUUAGGCCCUCAAAGAGGAUUCAAGUUUUGAAAUCUAAAUAAUGAGUUUUCCUGAUCAAGACAUACUGGGUCAGGCUUUUGAAGAUGCACUAGAAGUACUGCAGCAGCACUCCGACAGAGAAAUGCAGUACUCACAAGGUAAAGGGGGGACAUUGCUUUAUUUUUACUUACAGCUUUAUAUUCUUACAGAAAAGCGUAUCUUAAAAUAUAUGUUUGGGAUGGUAACUUCCUAGAGGUGGAUUAAUGGACAGCUGAAGAGUACGAUGCCUGUGGCAUUGAGUUUGGAACUAGAUGAUCGUUGAGGUCCCUUGCAACCCAAGCCGUUCUAUGAUGAAAAUGGAGAAGAAGGGUUGGAAGGUUUUUGUACCUGACACUGCCCGGAGUGGUUUGCAUCUUCCAAGCCACAUCACAGGGAAGCUACUGGACAGCCCCUUUGCCUUCCAUCCAGUAUUAUUAGAGGUAUAUUGAGCUCGAAACAAAACAUGUAAGACCAAAGUGCAACUCGCAUUUUCCAGUUUUAAUGUUUCAAUUGAAAAAUGCCCUUAUGUUAUGCUGUAAAUAAACUCAUAUAGGAAUGAAUUCCAGUGCAAAGACUAAAAGAAGACAAAGAAUUCAGCAUAUGAAUUUUGUUUCCAUAAUUGCUUUUUUACAUUAAGGUACAAAUUUUAAAUAUUUUUAGGCACAGUCUAGGUUAUUAGCAGAAAAGCAAUUUUCCUGGCUUCUAGAUUAAGAUUUAUGCAUUACAAAACUUAAAAUAUAGGUAAGCUGCAUAUUCCUUCAGUUCAGGGAAGAUAUUUGCAAUUAAAAUGCUAUAAAAUUUAAAAUAUAUCUGUAUAUGGUUUUUCUGUCAUGAAUAGAAAUGGAAGGAAAGGAAAGUAAGAAGCUACAUUGCAAAUCCUUUACAUCCAGAAGAACAUAUUUACUGUCCUUUGUGAGGAAUGUAUUUCAUGCCAGAAAGUUGAUUUGCACGUUUAUCUGUGAUAAUAUUGAAAUGUAAAUAAGACAGAUUGGCUCAUAUCUUCAGCUGUUGUUAAUAAGUUUUUGCCUCCACUUCAGUGGUAAUUUGCACACUGAAGUAUUGUCAACGGUUUACGGGCUGGUUCGGCCCGGUUCCGUGACUAGAAGGGCGGAGGGAU
Meleagris gallopavo (turkey) is the source of this 2101-nucleotide non-coding RNA. The record is from RefSeq and is a predicted model, not a curated record. NCBI's taxonomy places the organism in Eukaryota, Metazoa, Chordata, Aves, Galliformes, Phasianidae.